GCGAAGGUCACACUGGGAGCCGUGAGUUAACAUUGUUUUUCUAGCUUAAACCUGCGCGUCGCAGUCCCUUCUCCGGACAGACACUGAAAAUGAGCAGUUUCGAGGCAGGGGGAACUACCCCUCCCUCCCCAUCACCAGCCCCGCAGCCCGGCGUUCCCUGAACGGGGCUCGGCUCCUUCCUCGCCCCGCCCCUCGAAGGAUGGCGCCCAGGCCCCGCCCCCGGAAGCCCCGCCGGAGACUCUGCGCGCGCAGCUUAUUAUGGACCGGGAAGCGGACAGUGCGGACUGGAGCUUGCACUGCCCAGCGUGUUUCUCGUUUGUAGUGUAAAUCUGUGCUGCGCGGUCCCGCUGACUCCACCCUCAGGGUCUUGGGAGUCACUAUGGACCUUAACUCCCAGCAGCUGGCCCUCCGACCCGGUAAAUCCAGACAUCGCCGUUACAGGUCGGGUCAACCUCUAAAGACUCAACGUUGUCUGAGGAAGAAGCCCUGAAGAGGAGGAAGAGGAAAGAAAAGGAGUCAGAAAUGGCUCUUUCUCAGGGCCUGUCAUCUCCACUUAGAUCCUAUCUCCCCAUGACUCAGUGACCUGGAACUUGUGAGGAGUCCCCACUGGGCAGGGAUUCACAUCCAUGGAUUGGAGACGUGGUGUCAGUGCUACUGGGCAGCAAGGAUUUCUUAGGGCGCCAUCAGGAUGCACUGUCUGCUCUCUGUAAACCGGGAUAAAGAAGCUGCACAUGGAAGUGAUGGGAUUAAUAUGCACAAUACCUGGCACCGUUGACCUUCAAGGAUGUGGCCGUAGGAUUCACUCAGGAGUGGGAACGCCUGGACCCUGCUCAGAGGGCCUUGUAUAGGGACGUGAUGGAGGAGACCUCCAGGAACCUGCUCUCUGUGGGGGAAAAGACAAGAGUCCAGAAAAGAUCAUUUCCCAUUCCUGGCCGUAUGGAAUAGGGACCUGAGAACAUCUGCUCAGCAAAACUGCACAUUUGCUGUGGACCAAAGACCACUGGGUACCUCCUUUUUCUUCAAUAAAUGGCAUGUAUUAUUUGUUCCUGAAGAUAUGUACAAGAAUGUUCUUUGCGGGACCUAAAAGCAAAACCUGGAGAAUGAAUGAAUUCACUCUGUGUGAACACAUGUGGACGCAAUAAAACCCUCUCAAGGGUACAGCAGUGGAGGAUGAUCAUGGUUGCUGGAUGAUGAUCUCUUGGCAGGGGUGACAGGCUGACUGGUGGAAACAAAGCUAGCAGGAGGCUUUUGCCAAGGUUUAACCUCUGUGGAUGUGAUUAUAUUUGGUAAGAAUAACUUUUAAACUACUUACACAUUUUUAAAUCAGAAUAUCAAUUUUAGCAUGAAGUUUUUUAGUGCAAACAGCUUUGUCAUAUAAAAGUAACAGAUCUCUUUUGCAGGAAUUUUUUAAAGUAUUUGAAAUCAUAUCUUUGGAUCUUUUAACAUUCCAAUCCCAAACAUAAAACAGACAUCAGAUGAGAAGUGCUCUUACUGUAUGUGUAUCACUAAAGAUAUAUCACUAAAGAUAUACUUACUCUUAUCAAUAGAAAUUAAUAUGCACUUAACAAAAAGUGAUGCAUUUUGACUUCUGGAACACCAACAGAAAAUAGUAACCUUAAGGGGCAUUACUAAACAACCUAGAGGGGAAAGAAUGACUUGUAUGGACAAGUGUUGUUCACAGCAGGGUUUAACCAUAGAAACAGUUCUGGCAGUGCCCAGCUGAUCCAUGGCAGAGUUCUAUGUGCAGAGAUGUGGUCGACAACCUAAGCAGCCAAUUAACAGCCUGAAGAACAGGACGAUAAUAGGAUGUAUAUCAACAAGGACCAGGUGACUUUUGAUGAAAUUUAGUUGAAAGAGAGGACAGGGAACAAAAGAGACCUCAUUGAAAUAUGUAAUUCAAGGAAUGUAAGAAAAUUUCUGAGAAACAUCCUUAGAAGCAGUAAUAAUGAGGAAAUCAUGGAGUAUAAAAAAAUUACCUACAUUUCCUUAAAUAAAAUGAGCUAUUUAAAUAUCAGCAUACCAAGAUGUGCAUGAAGAAUCUACACAGGGAGAAUAAUUAUUAGAAUAAAUUAAUGUUGGGGAAGCUAGUAAAGUAGUCUUGUUCAGGUUUCAGAGGCAGCACUAGGCCUCUCUGACCGGGCAGUGACCCUAAAAGCUGGCUACGUGCCAAGCUGCUGAGCUCCCUGCAGGCAGCACACCUUGUAAAUCAUUAGAUAAGAUAGGGCGUAAGUCUGGGGCCUUCUUGCACCCUGAGGGCCUGGCCAGCCCCCAGGGAUCAGAGAACACUCCAAGACUUAUGACUUAAAACCAAGGCAUUUAUGACAAUAACCAGAGCUGCAAAUUUGCACGCAGGCUGACUGUCGUCUGGGCCUUCCCAGCUGGGAUUCCAGAUUGCUGCUGAAGGGACUUCCCAGUGCUGCUUGGAUCUGGAUGUAGGUGCUUCCCCAAUUCCAUGAUGUAAUAAACCUGUCUUUACUAUACUUUCUUAGUUAUAUUAUUCUUAAUUAGUAUACUGUAAUCUUUUAAUUCAAUGAACUCUCUGAAUUCUU
This is an RNA transcript of Aethalodelphis obliquidens (Pacific white-sided dolphin), 2549 nucleotides long. It is a transcript of the gene named zinc finger protein 480-like, with no coding region annotated. The record is from RefSeq and is a predicted model, not a curated record. The transcript has 6 exons. Lineage: Eukaryota; Metazoa; Chordata; Mammalia; Artiodactyla; Delphinidae.